UUUGAAGAUUACUAAGGGCGCACGGUGGAUGCCUUGGCAUCAGGAGCCGAUGAAGGACGUGGCAAUCUGCGAUAUGCCUCGGGGAGCCGAUAAGCGGGCUGUGAUCCGAGGAUUUCCGAAUGGGGAAACCCCGUCGUCUGUGAGGGCGAUGACCUGUAUCUGAAUACAUAGGGUGCAGGGGGGAACGCGGGGAAGUGAAACAUCUCAGUACCCGCAGGAAGAGAAAACAACAGUGAUUCCGUGAGUAGUGGCGAGCGAAAGCGGAAGUGGCUAAACCGUCUGUGUGUGAUACCCGGCAGGGGUUGCAUGGGCGGGGUUGUGGGAGCAUCAGUGCCCGGUCUGCCGGCUGGGUCGUGUGAGUGCAGCGUGAUAGUCGAAUCAUCUUGAGUGGUGUGCCGUAGAGGGUGUGAGUCCCGUAGACGAAAUCAUUGUUGCCGCGCGUGGUGUUUCCCGAGUAGCACGGAGCCCGUGAAACUUCGUGUGAAUCUGCCAGGACCACCUGGUAAGCCUGAAUACUACCUGAUGACCGAUAGCGGACCAGUACCGUGAGGGAAAGGUGAAAAGCACCCCGGGAGGGGAGUGAAAUAGUACCUGAAACCGUGUGCCUACAAGCCGUCGGAGCCUUUUGGGGUGACGGCGUGCCUUUUGAAGAAUGAGCCUGCGAGUUAGUGUCAUGUCGCGAGGUUAACCCGUGUGGGGUAGUCGUAGCGAAAGCGAGUCUGAAUAGGGCGUUGAGUGGCGUGAUCUAGACCCGAAGCGAAGUGAUCUACCCAUGGCCAGGUUGAAGCGCGUGUAAGAGCGCGUGGAGGACCGAACCCACUUCAGUUGAAAAUGGAGGGGAUGAGCUGUGGGUAGGGGUGAAAGGCCAAUCAAACUUCGUGAUAGCUGGUUCUCCCCGAAAUGCAUUUAGGUGCAGCGUCGUGUGUUUCUUGCCAGAGGUAGAGCUACUGGAUGGCUGAUGGGCCCCAACGGGUUACUGACGUCAACCAAACUCCGAAUGCUGGUAAGUGAGAGCACGGCAGUGAGACUGUGGGGGAUAAGCUUCAUAGUCGAAAGGGAAACAGCCCAGACCACCGACUAAGGCCCCUAAGCGUGUGCUAAGUGGGAAAGGAUGUGGAGUUGCUCAGACAACCAGGAGGUUGGCUUAGAAGCAGCCAUCCUUGAAAGAGUGCGUAAUAGCUCACUGGUCAAGUGAUUCCGCGCCGAUAAUGUAGCGGGGCUCAAGUACACCGCCGAAGUCGUGGCAAUGCACAUUUCCGUGCACCACUCGUGGCCGGGACACCUUUGGUGUUGUGGUUCGGGUGCUGUGUGGUGACUGUAAUGGUUUUGUGUGUGUUGGGUAGGGGAGCGUCGAGCGGGUGGUGAAGCUGCCGGGUGACCGAGUGGUGGAGCCUGUUCGAGUGAGAAUGCAGGCAUGAGUAGCGAAUGACGGGUGAGAAACCCGUCCGCCGAAUGAUCAAGGGUUCCGGGGUCAAGCUAAUCUGCCCCGGGUGAGUCGGGACCUAAGGCGAGGCCGACAGGCGUAGUCGAUGGACAACGGGUUGAUAUUCCCGUACCGGCGAAGAACCGUCCAUACUGAACUGGGGAUACUAACCACCGGUUCCACCCGUUUCUCAUGCGCCACUUUGUGGUGUGUGGUUGUGGUGGGAUGCGUGGGACCUGAUCCAGGGAGGUAAGCGUGUUAACAGGUGUGACGCAGGAAGGUAGCCGAGCCAGGCGAUGGUAGUCCUGGUCUAAGCGUGUAGGGCGAGUCAUUGGUAAAUCCGUGGCUCAUAUAGCUUGAGACGUGAUGGGACCCCUUUGGUGGGGGAUUCGGUGAUCCUAUGUUGCCGAGAAAAGCAUCGACGUGAGGUUCUAGCCGCCCGUACCCCAAACCGACACAGGUGAUCAGGUAGAGAAUACUAAGGCGUUCGAGAGAAUCAUGGUUAAGGAACUCGGCAAAAUGCCCCCGUAACUUCGGGAGAAGGGGGGCCCGGACCCUGACAUGCCCUUGCGGUGUGGAGGGGGUAAGGGUCGCAGAGACCAGGGGGAAGCGACUGUUUAUCAAAAACACAGGUCCGUGCGAAGUCGUAAGACGAUGUAUACGGACUGACUCCUGCCCGGUGCUGGAAGGUUAAGAGGACCUGUUAGACGCAAGUCGAAGCGGAGAAUUUAAGCCCCAGUAAACGGCGGUGGUAACUAUAACCAUCCUAAGGUAGCGAAAUUCCUUGUCGGGUAAGUUCCGACCUGCACGAAUGGAGUAACGACUUCCCCGCUGUCUCAACCAUGAACUCGGCGAAAUUGCAGUACGAGUAAAGAUGCUCGUUACGCGCAGCAGGACGGAAAGACCCCGAGACCUUUACUAUAGUUUGGUAUUGGUGUUCGGUGCGGCUUGUGUAGGAUAGGUGGGAGACUGUGAAGCGGACACGCCAGUGUUCGUGGAGUCGUUGUUGAAAUACCACUCUGGUCGCUCUGGAUAUCUAACUUCGGCCCGUGAUCCGGGUCAGGGACAGUGCCUGAUGGGUAGUUUAACUGGGGCGGUUGCCUCCUAAAGAGUAACGGAGGCGCCCAAAGGUUCCCUCAGCCUGGUUGGCAAUCAGGUGUUGAGUGCAAGUGCACAAGGGAGCUUGACUGUGAGAGUGACGGCUCGAGCAGGGACGAAAGUCGGGACUAGUGAUCCGGCGGUACAUUGUGGAAUGGCCGUCGCUCAACGGAUAAAAGGUACCUCGGGGAUAACAGGCUGAUCUUGCCCAAGAGUCCAUAUCGACGGCAUGGUUUGGCACCUCGAUGUCGGCUCGUCGCAUCCUGGGGCUGGAGUUGGUCCCAAGGGUUGGGCUGUUCGCCCAUUAAAGCGGCACGCGAGCUGGGUUCAGAACGUCGUGAGACAGUUCGGUCCCUAUCCGCUGCGCGCGUUGGAAAUUUGAGAAGGUCUGUCCUUAGUACGAGAGGACCGGGACGGACGAACCUCUGGUAUGUCAGUUGUACCGCCAGGUGCAUGGCUGAUUGGCUACGUUCGGGAGAGAUAACCGCUGAAAGCAUCUAAGCGGGAAGCUUGCUUCGAGAUGAGAUUUCCUUCCUCCUUUGUGGGGGUGAGGCUCCCAGGAGACUACUGGGUUGAUAGGCUGGAUGUGGUAGCGAGGACUGACGACUCGUGGAGCUGACCAGUACUAAUAAGCCGAUGAUCUUCACACA
This 3171-nucleotide ribosomal RNA is filed under the name Kocuria palustris. Its description in RNAcentral is "23S ribosomal RNA". It matches the Rfam family "Bacterial large subunit ribosomal RNA". Lineage: Bacteria; Bacillati; Actinomycetota; Actinomycetes; Micrococcales; Micrococcaceae. The record is from RNAcentral.